Molecule: ribosomal RNA, 973 nt
Filed under: Chattonella tenuiplastida
Lineage: Eukaryota; Raphidophyceae; Chattonellales; Chattonellaceae
Description: Chattonella sp. 1-MI-2022 partial 28S ribosomal RNA
Source: RNAcentral
GACCCGCUGAAUUUAAGCAUAUAAUUAAGCGGAGGAAAAGAAACCAACUCGGAUUCCCCUAGUAACGGCGAGUGAAGCGGGAAGAGCUCAUGUUGUAAAUCUGGAUGAGGGUUCCUCGUCCCGAAUUGUAGUCUAGAGAUGCGUGCUCAGCUACUCUCCAGGGCUAAGUCUGUUUGUGAAAGACAGUAUCAUGGACGGUGAUAAUCCGGUUCUUGCCUUGGAUGUUGUAGCGUUUUGAGCCGUCCUCAACGAGUCGAGUUGCUUGGGAUUGCAGCUCUAAGUGGGUGGUAAAUUCCAUCUAAAGCUAAAUAUUGGUGGGAGACCGAUAGCGAACAAGUACCGUGAGGGAAAGAUGAAAAGAACUUUGAAAAGAGAGUUAAAUAGUACCUGAAACUGCUGAAAGGGAAGCGAAUGAAGUCAGUGUUGCUCUUGGUGCUCUGCUUCCGUCCCUGCGGGGAUUGUGCAUCGAGGACUUUGAGCUUGUCAGGAUGAGUUCUCUGCCGCGGGAUAUGUUUUGUGAGCUGGACGCUUCGGCCGAACUCGCAUUCUCUGUCGUGGCUUGGACUGAGGUUCCAUCUUGCCRUUGCCUGCUCGUUGCUCUCUUGUUGCUGUCUCUGUCCUACUGCUUGCAGUGUUCAGUUGCAGUUGCUGGACUGUGCGGGUUAUGCAUGCAAGGUCAGGAUCCUGACGAAAUGGCUUUAUUUACCCCGUCUUGAAACACGGACCAAGGAGUCUAACAUACGUGCGAGUACUUUGGUGGCAAACCAAUGUGCGCAAUGAAAGUAAAGGCUGGCUUCCGUCAGCUCAGGUGGGAUCCUUAUGGAGCACCAUCGACCGACCAUUGUCCCUUCGGGGUAAAGGUUUGAGUGUGAGCAUUUAUGUUGGGACCCGAAAGAUGGUGAACUAUGCCUGAAUAGGGCGAAGCCAGGGGAAACUCUGGUGGAGGCUCGUAGCGAUUCUGACGUGCAAAUCG